This 468-nucleotide ribosomal RNA is filed under the name uncultured bacterium. RNAcentral's name for it is "bacterial SSU rRNA". It matches the Rfam family "Bacterial small subunit ribosomal RNA", at positions 328 to 793 of the family's 1533-position model. The record is from RNAcentral.
UGGCCAGACUCCUACGGGAGGCAGCAGUGAGGAAUAUUGGUCAAUGGGCGGGAGCCUGAACCAGCCAAGUCGCGUGAGGGAAGACGGUCCUAUGGAUUGUAAACCUCUUUAGGCGGGGAGCAAUGCCGGGCACGCGUGCCCGGAGGGAGAGUACCCGCAGAAUAAGCAUCGGCUAACUCCGUGCCAGCAGCCGCGGUAAUACGGAGGAUGCGAGCGUUAUCCGGAUUUAUUGGGUUUAAAGGGUGCGUAGGCGGAUUUUUAAGUCAGCGGUAAAAUGUCCGGGCUCAACCCGGGCCGGCCGUUGAAACUGGGGAUCUUGAGUGGGCGAGAAGUAUGCGGAAUGCGUGGUGUAGCGGUGAAAUGCGUAGAUAUUAGGAGGAACACCAGUGGCGAAGGCGGCUUGCUGGACAGUAACUGACGUUGAGGCUCGAAAGCGUGGGGAGCAAACAGGAUUAGAUACCCGCGUAC